This 209-nucleotide long non-coding RNA is filed under the name Elaeis guineensis (African oil palm). Its description in RNAcentral is "long non-coding RNA (EGUI_LNC061851)". Lineage: Eukaryota; Viridiplantae; Streptophyta; Magnoliopsida; Arecales; Arecaceae. The record is from RNAcentral.
GUCCUCUAGAGAUGGUGUUGAUGAUCUCAAUUGGAGGUCGAUAUUCAGGCUGUUCUUUCCUCCUUGAUGGCUCUGAUUGUGGUAGGGCCCUCGAUCGAUCUUCCCUACCUUCAGGCUGACGUAGGAUGAAUCUGUUGAACCAACCCCAUCUGAUGAGCUCCUCGAUCUCAUCUUGAAACUAAAUACACUCCUCUGUGUCAUGGCCAUGG